UGAACGCUGGCGGUAGGCCUAACACAUGCAAGUCGAACGGCAGCACAGUAAGAGCUUGCUCUUACGGGUGGCGAGUGGCGGACGGGUGAGGAAUACAUCGGAAUCUACUUUUUCGUGGGGGAUAACGUAGGGAAACUUACGCUAAUACCGCAUACGACCUACGGGUGAAAGCAGGGGAUCUUCGGACCUUGCGCGAUUGAAUGAGCCGAUGUCGGAUUAGCUAGUUGGCGGGGUAAAGGCCCACCAAGGCGACGAUCCGUAGCUGGUCUGAGAGGAUGAUCAGCCACACUGGAACUGAGACACGGUCCAGACUCCUACGGGAGGCAGCAGUGGGGAAUAUUGGACAAGGGGCGCAAGCCUGAUCCAGCCAUACCGCGUGGGUGAAGAAGGCCUUCGGGUUGUAAAGCCCUUUUGUUGGGAAAGAAAAGCAGCAGGUUAAUACCCCGCUGUUCUGACGGUACCCAAAGAAUAAGCACCGGCUAACUUCGUG
This 490-nucleotide ribosomal RNA is filed under the name uncultured bacterium. RNAcentral's name for it is "partial 16S ribosomal RNA". It matches the Rfam family "Bacterial small subunit ribosomal RNA", at positions 30 to 507 of the family's 1533-position model. The record is from RNAcentral.